Molecule: ribosomal RNA, 254 nt
Filed under: uncultured bacterium
Lineage: Bacteria
Description: partial 16S ribosomal RNA
Rfam family: Bacterial small subunit ribosomal RNA
Source: RNAcentral
UACGUAGGGUGCGAGCGUUAAUCGGAAUUACUGGGCGUAAAGCGUGCGCAGGCGGUUUUGUAAGUCUGUCGUGAAAUCCCCGGGCUCAACCUGGGAAUUGCGAUGGAGACUGCAAGGCUAGAAUCUGGCAGAGGGGGGUAGAAUUCCACGUGUAGCAGUGAAAUGCGUAGAGAUGUGGAGGAACACCGAUGGCGAAGGCAGCCCCCUGGGCUAACACUGACGCUCAUGCACGAAAGCGUGGGAGCAACAGGAUU